This 1582-nucleotide ribosomal RNA is filed under the name Salmonella enterica. RNAcentral describes it as "partial 23S ribosomal RNA". It matches the Rfam family "Bacterial large subunit ribosomal RNA", at positions 140 to 1763 of the family's 2925-position model. The record is from RNAcentral. Lineage: Bacteria; Pseudomonadati; Pseudomonadota; Gammaproteobacteria; Enterobacterales; Enterobacteriaceae.
UCGUCACACUAUCAUUAACUGAAUCCAUAGGUUAAUGAGGCGAACCGGGGGAACUGAAACAUCUAAGUACCCCGAGGAAAAGAAAUCAACCGAGAUUCCCCCAGUAGCGGCGAGCGAACGGGGAGGAGCCCAGAGCCUGAAUCAGCAUGUGUGUUAGUGGAAGCGUCUGGAAAGGCGCGCGAUACAGGGUGACAGCCCCGUACACAAAAGCGCAUGUGCUGUGAGCUCGAUGAGUAGGGCGGGACACGUGGUAUCCUGUCUGAAUAUGGGGGGACCAUCCUCCAAGGCUAAAUACUCCUGACUGACCGAUAGUGAACCAGUACCGUGAGGGAAAGGCGAAAAGAACCCCGGCGAGGGGAGUGAAAAAGAACCUGAAACCGUGUACGUACAAGCAGUGGGAGCACCCUUUGGGUGUGACUGCGUACCUUUUGUAUAAUGGGUCAGCGACUUAUAUUCUGUAGCAAGGUUAACCGAAUAGGGGAGCCGGAGGGAAACCGAGUCUUAACCGGGCGUUAAGUUGCAGGGUAUAGACCCGAAACCCGGUGAUCUAGCCAUGGGCAGGUUGAAGGUUGGGUAACACUAACUGGAGGACCGAACCGACUAAUGUUGAAAAAUUAGCGGAUGACCUGUGGCUGGGGGUGAAAGGCCAAUCAAACCGGGAGAUAGCUGGUUCUCCCCGAAAGCUAUUUAGGUAGCGCCUCGUGAAUUCAUCUCCGGGGGUAGAGCACUGUUUCGGCUAGGGGGCCAUCCCGGCUUACCAACCCGAUGCAAACUGCGAAUACCGGAGAAUGUUAUCACGGGAGACACACGGCGGGUGCUAACGUCCGUCGUGAAGAGGGAAACAACCCAGACCGCCAGCUAAGGUCCCAAAGUCAUGGUUAAGUGGGAAACGAUGUGGGAAGGCCCAGACAGCCAGGAUGUUGGCUUAGAAGCAGCCAUCAUUUAAAGAAAGCGUAAUAGCUCACUGGUCGAGUCGGCCUGCGCGGAAGAUGUAACGGGGCUAAACCAUGCACCGAAGCUGCGGCAGCGACACUGUGUGUUGUUGGGUAGGGGAGCGUUCUGUAAGCCUGUGAAGGUGUGUCGUGAGGCAUGCUGGAGGUAUCAGAAGUGCGAAUGCUGACAUAAGUAACGAUAAAGCGGGUGAAAAGCCCGCUCGCCGGAAGACCAAGGGUUCCUGUCCAACGUUAAUCGGGGCAGGGUGAGUCGACCCCUAAGGCGAGGCCGAAAGGCGUAGUCGAUGGGAAACGGGUUAAUAUUCCCGUACUUGGUGUUACUGCGAAGGGGGGACGGAGAAGGCUAUGUUGGCCGGGCGACGGUUGUCCCGGUUUAAGCGUGUAGGUGUGUGUUCCAGGUAAAUCCGGUUCACUUUAACACUGAGGCGUGACGACGAGGCACUACGGUGCUGAAGCAACAAAUGCCCUGCUUCCAGGAAAAGCCUCUAAGCAUCAGGUAACAUCAAAUCGUACCCCAAACCGACACAGGUGGUCAGGUAGAGAAUACCAAGGCGCUUGAGAGAACUCGGGUGAAGGAACUAGGCAAAAUGGUGCCGUAACUUCGGGAGAAGGCACGCUGACACGUAGGU